This 1554-nucleotide ribosomal RNA is filed under the name Salmonella enterica subsp. enterica serovar Thompson. Its description in RNAcentral is "bacterial SSU rRNA". It matches the Rfam family "Bacterial small subunit ribosomal RNA". Lineage: Bacteria; Pseudomonadati; Pseudomonadota; Gammaproteobacteria; Enterobacterales; Enterobacteriaceae. The record is from RNAcentral. RNAcentral also lists the same sequence under 1 other name.
UUAAAUUGAAGAGUUUGAUCAUGGCUCAGAUUGAACGCUGGCGGCAGGCCUAACACAUGCAAGUCGAACGGUAACAGGAAGCAGCUUGCUGCUUUGCUGACGAGUGGCGGACGGGUGAGUAAUGUCUGGGAAACUGCCUGAUGGAGGGGGAUAACUACUGGAAACGGUGGCUAAUACCGCAUAACGUCGCAAGACCAAAGAGGGGGACCUUCGGGCCUCUUGCCAUCAGAUGUGCCCAGAUGGGAUUAGCUAGUUGGUGAGGUAACGGCUCACCAAGGCGACGAUCCCUAGCUGGUCUGAGAGGAUGACCAGCCACACUGGAACUGAGACACGGUCCAGACUCCUACGGGAGGCAGCAGUGGGGAAUAUUGCACAAUGGGCGCAAGCCUGAUGCAGCCAUGCCGCGUGUAUGAAGAAGGCCUUAGGGUUGUAAAGUACUUUCAGCGGGGAGGAAGGUGUUGCGGUUAAUAACCGCAGCAAUUGACGUUACCCGCAGAAGAAGCACCGGCUAACUCCGUGCCAGCAGCCGCGGUAAUACGGAGGGUGCAAGCGUUAAUCGGAAUUACUGGGCGUAAAGCGCACGCAGGCGGUCUGUCAAGUCGGAUGUGAAAUCCCCGGGCUCAACCUGGGAACUGCAUUCGAAACUGGCAGGCUUGAGUCUUGUAGAGGGGGGUAGAAUUCCAGGUGUAGCGGUGAAAUGCGUAGAGAUCUGGAGGAAUACCGGUGGCGAAGGCGGCCCCCUGGACAAAGACUGACGCUCAGGUGCGAAAGCGUGGGGAGCAAACAGGAUUAGAUACCCUGGUAGUCCACGCCGUAAACGAUGUCUACUUGGAGGUUGUGCCCUUGAGGCGUGGCUUCCGGAGCUAACGCGUUAAGUAGACCGCCUGGGGAGUACGGCCGCAAGGUUAAAACUCAAAUGAAUUGACGGGGGCCCGCACAAGCGGUGGAGCAUGUGGUUUAAUUCGAUGCAACGCGAAGAACCUUACCUGGUCUUGACAUCCACAGAACUUUCCAGAGAUGGAUUGGUGCCUUCGGGAACUGUGAGACAGGUGCUGCAUGGCUGUCGUCAGCUCGUGUUGUGAAAUGUUGGGUUAAGUCCCGCAACGAGCGCAACCCUUAUCCUUUGUUGCCAGCGAUUAGGUCGGGAACUCAAAGGAGACUGCCAGUGAUAAACUGGAGGAAGGUGGGGAUGACGUCAAGUCAUCAUGGCCCUUACGACCAGGGCUACACACGUGCUACAAUGGCGCAUACAAAGAGAAGCGACCUCGCGAGAGCAAGCGGACCUCAUAAAGUGCGUCGUAGUCCGGAUUGGAGUCUGCAACUCGACUCCAUGAAGUCGGAAUCGCUAGUAAUCGUGGAUCAGAAUGCCACGGUGAAUACGUUCCCGGGCCUUGUACACACCGCCCGUCACACCAUGGGAGUGGGUUGCAAAAGAAGUAGGUAGCUUAACCUUCGGGAGGGCGCUUACCACUUUGUGAUUCAUGACUGGGGUGAAGUCGUAACAAGGUAACCGUAGGGGAACCUGCGGUUGGAUCACCUCCUUACCUUAAAGAA